This 668-nucleotide ribosomal RNA is filed under the name Salmonella enterica. RNAcentral's name for it is "bacterial LSU rRNA". It matches the Rfam family "Bacterial large subunit ribosomal RNA", at positions 675 to 1258 of the family's 2925-position model. RNAcentral also lists the same sequence under 1 other name. Lineage: Bacteria; Pseudomonadati; Pseudomonadota; Gammaproteobacteria; Enterobacterales; Enterobacteriaceae. The record is from RNAcentral.
AACCGAGUCUUAAUUGGGCGUUAAGUUGCAGGGUAUAGACCCGAAACCCGGUGAUCUAGCCAUGGGCAGGUUGAAGGUUGGGUAACACUAACUGGAGGACCGAACCGACUAAUGUUGAAAAAUUAGCGGAUGACCUGUGGCUGGGGGUGAAAGGCCAAUCAAACCGGGAGAUAGCUGGUUCUCCCCGAAAGCUAUUUAGGUAGCGCCUCGUGAAUUCAUCUCCGGGGGUAGAGCACUGUUUCGGCUAGGGGGCCAUCCCGGCUUACCAACCCGAUGCAAACUGCGAAUACCGGAGAAUGUUAUCACGGGAGACACACGGCGGGUGCUAACGUCCGUCGUGAAGAGGGAAACAACCCAGACCGCCAGCUAAGGUCCCAAAGUCAUGGUUAAGUGGGAAACGAUGUGGGAAGGCCCAGACAGCCAGGAUGUUGGCUUAGAAGCAGCCAUCAUUUAAAGAAAGCGUAAUAGCUCACUGGUCGAGUCGGCCUGCGCGGAAGAUGUAACGGGGCUAAACCAUGCACCGAAGCUGCGGCAGCGAACGUAUCACUUAAAGCGAUUCAGCGGGUUACGAUUGACGGAGCGAAGCGACGUCAAAGCGUAUACAAAGUCGAGUCGGUUUAAGGAUACGUUCGUUGGGUAGGGGAGCGUUCUGUAAGCCUGUGAAGGUG